GGGUCCUUAGCUCAGCGGUAGAGCGCUCCCCCGACACGGGAGAGGCCGAAGGUUCGACCCCUUCAGGACCCA
This 72-nucleotide transfer RNA is filed under the name Gemmobacter caeni. RNAcentral's name for it is "tRNA-Val". It matches the Rfam family "tRNA". Rfam says of the family: Transfer RNA (tRNA) molecules are approximately 80 nucleotides in length. Their secondary structure includes four short double-helical elements and three loops (D, anti-codon, and T loops). Lineage: Bacteria; Pseudomonadati; Pseudomonadota; Alphaproteobacteria; Rhodobacterales; Paracoccaceae. The record is from RNAcentral.